RNAcentral lists this ribosomal RNA (315 nucleotides) under uncultured eukaryote. RNAcentral's name for it is "partial 18S ribosomal RNA". It matches the Rfam family "Eukaryotic small subunit ribosomal RNA", at positions 1470 to 1796 of the family's 1831-position model. The record is from RNAcentral.
CCCUUAGACGUUCUGGGCCGCACGCGCGCUACACUGACCAGUGCAACAAGCAUCCGUCCUUGGCCGACAGGCCCGGGCAAUCUUUGAACGCUGGUCGUGAUGGGGAUAGACUUUUGCAAUUUUUGGUCUUCAACGAGGAAUUCCUAGUAAACGCAAGUCAUCAACUUGCAUUGAUUACGUCCCUGCCCUUUGUACACAACGCCCGUCGCACCUACCGAUUGAAUGGUCCGGUGAAGCCUCCGGAUUGGCGCGCACCUCGGUGCCGCCGAGAAGUUGGCUAAACCUUACCAUUUAGAGGAAGGUGAAGUCGUAACA